GUACCGAUGAAGAGUCCCAAACUAGGACGAGACAGCUGUCCAGUAC
Molecule: non-coding RNA, 46 nt
Filed under: Trichobilharzia regenti
Lineage: Eukaryota; Metazoa; Platyhelminthes; Trematoda; Strigeidida; Schistosomatidae
Source: RNAcentral